UGGGGAAUUUUGGACAAUGGGCGAAAGCCUGAUGCAGCAACGCCGCGUGAGUGAUGAAGGCCUUCGGGUUGUAAAGCUCUGUCUUUUGGGACGAUAAUGACGGUACCAAAGGAGGAAGCCACGGCUAACUACGUGCCAGCAGCCGCGGUAAUACGUAGGUGGCAAGCGUUGUCCGGAUUUACUGGGCGUAAAGGAUGCGUAGGCGGAUUUUUAAGUGAGAUGUGAAAACCCUAAGCUUAACUUGGGGACUGCAUUUCAUACUGGAAAUCUAGAGUGCGGGAGAGGAGAAUGGAAUUCCUAGUGUAGCGGUGAAAUGCGUAGAGAUUAGGAAGAACACCAGUGGCGAAGGCGAUUCUCUGGACCGUAACUGACGCUGAGGCAUGAAAGCGUGGGUAGCAAACAGGAUUAGAUACCCUGGUAGUCCACGCCGUAAACGAUGAGUACUAGGUGUAGGAGGUAUCGACCCCUUCUGUGCCGCAGUUAACACAAUAAGUACUCCGCCUGGGAAGUACGAUCGCAAGAUUAAAACUCAAAUGAAUUGACGGGGUCAUAGCUGUUUUCC
Molecule: ribosomal RNA, 562 nt
Filed under: uncultured bacterium
Lineage: Bacteria
Description: partial 16S ribosomal RNA
Rfam family: Bacterial small subunit ribosomal RNA
Source: RNAcentral